Molecule: long non-coding RNA, 322 nt
Filed under: Panax ginseng (ginseng)
Lineage: Eukaryota; Viridiplantae; Streptophyta; Magnoliopsida; Apiales; Araliaceae
Description: long non-coding RNA (PGIN_LNC007540)
Source: RNAcentral
UUGAAAUAACCCAUCAUCGCAAAGAGACCUAAUAAUCAAAUUCUGCAAGUAAAGAUUGGGUUUUCCUAUUCCUUUGAAAGUCGAGAGAGCUAACUGUGGAAAACCCAGGUCAAAGCAAUGCCUAAGAAAAUCUCCAACCUGAGUUUUUUGUUGUGGGAAUAUGCCGCUCACAAUGAGGUGAGACUUGAGAGAUUCUAAGUGUACAAUGCUUUGGCAGAGUGACAGGAGGCGAAGGAAGUUGGCGUAAAGGGAAUUUGUUGAGUUGUGAAUUGGGUGUUUGUGAAUUGUGAGAGGAAUUGAAGUUGGAGGAGGAGGAGAGAGA